This 382-nucleotide long non-coding RNA is filed under the name Nicotiana benthamiana. RNAcentral describes it as "long non-coding RNA (NBEN_LNC012345)". The record is from RNAcentral. Lineage: Eukaryota; Viridiplantae; Streptophyta; Magnoliopsida; Solanales; Solanaceae.
UCGUGAUUGGAUCCGCAUAUGUUUGGUAAAGAGAAUAAUCUUAUCCUUUGAGAAUAAUAAAAAAUGGACAGUGUUCAAUUGGAACAUGAAAACAUGACUAAAUUGGUCCUAGUUACUCUUCGGGGCGGAGAGGACGAAGGGGGGGAUUCUCGAAUACGGAAAGGAUCCAAUCCAUUCGAAGGGGGAGCAGAGCAGCAGGCAGGCAAAGCAGGGGAAGAGAUAUGGAUUGCACCGAAAGCAAUGCCCUUCGCACCUAAGUGCCACAGGCUUCAUAUGCAAGAGUUAGGAUAGAGCUUUCACUAAUAUAAGGGGGUCGCUUUGAUUGAAAAGUUUCUGAUUCAAUUGUAGUGCAUUCUCGAACAGUAAGAGCUGAAUCGGAAUA